This 219-nucleotide ribosomal RNA is filed under the name Triticum aestivum (bread wheat). RNAcentral describes it as "partial small subunit ribosomal RNA". Lineage: Eukaryota; Viridiplantae; Streptophyta; Magnoliopsida; Poales; Poaceae. The record is from RNAcentral.
AUGAACUGUCUAAGCUGGAACUGCCGGGGGCUUGGGAACCCCGAGGCAGUUCGUGAGCUUCGCAACAUCGCGAGGCAAGGAGGGCCCGCUCUGGUUUUCGUCAUGGAGACAAAGAUCAGAGGCAAGAGAGUUGAGGAUCUGCGGCACACCCUAGGGUUUGCAGGCAGCUUCGGUGUGGACAGCGACGGUCUGAGCGGAGGCAUAGGACUAUUCUGGUAA